RNAcentral lists this non-coding RNA (332 nucleotides) under Anaerobacillus sp. RNAcentral describes it as "T-box sequence". It matches the Rfam family "T-box leader". Rfam says of the family: Uncharged tRNA acts as the effector for transcription antitermination of genes in the T-box leader family. T-boxes are found upstream of many aminoacyl-tRNA synthetase genes and some amino acid biosynthetic genes usually in Gram-positive bacteria. Lineage: Bacteria; Bacillati; Bacillota; Bacilli; Caryophanales; Bacillaceae. The record is from RNAcentral.
GAUAUUGCUUUGAAUGGGAAGAGUACAUCUGUAAUACCAUCAGAGAGAAAAAUCAUUGUUAAAAUGUUCGUGUAGUUUUACCGGAGAUUUAAACAAUUGCUGAGAGAUUUUUCAGGAGCUAAAGAUGGAAGGUCGCCCAGGAGCUGCAUAGUUGAAAGAAGAGUUGUGACAUAUGUAGGCACUUACGCUUUUGGUAAUGUCUAGCUUCAGUGCCCAGCCAGUAGACUAUGCCGGUUUAAUAACCGUUACAUGAAUGAAGUGUGUCUUCGACUAGUUUUUUUGACGAUGGCAAACAAAGGUGGUACCGCGAAUAUACUCUCUUCGUCCUUUGA